Molecule: ribosomal RNA, 131 nt
Filed under: uncultured Laccaria
Lineage: Eukaryota; Fungi; Basidiomycota; Agaricomycetes; Agaricales; Tricholomataceae
Description: partial 28S ribosomal RNA
Rfam family: Eukaryotic large subunit ribosomal RNA
Source: RNAcentral
GACCUCAAAUCAGGUAGGACUACCCGCUGAACUUAAGCAUAUCAAUAAGCGGAGGAAAAGAAACUAACAAGGAUUCCCCUAGUAACUGCGAGUGAAGCGGGAAAAGCUCAAAUUUAAAAUCUGGCAGUCUU